This 72-nucleotide transfer RNA is filed under the name Capra hircus (goat). It matches the Rfam family "tRNA". From Rfam's summary of the family: Transfer RNA (tRNA) molecules are approximately 80 nucleotides in length. Lineage: Eukaryota; Metazoa; Chordata; Mammalia; Artiodactyla; Bovidae. RNAcentral also lists the same sequence under 1 other name. The record is from Rfam by way of RNAcentral.
UCCCUGAUAGCUCAGUUGGUAAAGAAUCUGCCUGUGAUGCAGGGGACUCUGGUUCGAUUCCUGGUUCAGGAA